This 376-nucleotide ribosomal RNA is filed under the name uncultured bacterium. RNAcentral's name for it is "bacterial SSU rRNA". It matches the Rfam family "Bacterial small subunit ribosomal RNA", at positions 521 to 896 of the family's 1533-position model. The record is from RNAcentral.
UAAUACGGAGGGAGCUAGCGUUGUUCGGAAUUACUGGGCGUAAAGCGUGCGUAGGCGGUGACUCAAGUCAGAGGUGAAAGCCUGGAGCUCAACUCCAGAACUGCCUUUGAAACUAGGUCGCUAGAAUCACGGAGAGGUGAGUGGAAUUCCGAGUGUAGAGGUGAAAUUCGUAGAUAUUCGGAAGAACACCAGUGGCGAAGGCGGCUCACUGGACGUGUAUUGACGCUGAGGCACGAAAGCGUGGGGAGCAAACAGGAUUAGAUACCCUGGUAGUCCACGCCGUAAACGAUGAUAACUAGCUGCCGGGGCACUUGGUGCUUCGGUGGCGCAGCUAACGCAUUAAGUUAUCCGCCUGGGGAGUACGGUCGCAAGAUUA